Olea europaea var. sylvestris is the source of this 925-nucleotide long non-coding RNA. RefSeq lists it as uncharacterized. The record is from RefSeq and is a predicted model, not a curated record. The transcript is spliced from 3 exons. NCBI's taxonomy places the organism in Eukaryota, Viridiplantae, Streptophyta, Magnoliopsida, Lamiales, Oleaceae.
UAAAGCUCACGCCUCACUCCUCCACCCUUUUCUGUCUUCAACGCCACCAUUGGCUUCAACUCCAUUAAAUCAGGUUGGACAACUGAUCGCACUGUAAUUUGUUGACUUCACUACUCUCAAAAGGCUAUAACUUAAGCAGCAUGUUUUUGCUACCAUAGAAAGAGAGAUCUGAUCCAGAUCUAGUUUCUUUCCAUUUUCUUCUACCAGAAAAUGGCCCAACCUUUCAUCAUUUUUGGGAGGCUUGGCAAUUUACUAAUUGUGGAGGAUAAAUUUUGUUUUGAUGCGAAUGACCCGGUGCAUCAUUUGGAAACUGUUAUGAAAAAUGACGGUGCUCAAAGUGUCAUGAGUGGAAGAAUAUGUGAUAUUGGUAUGGGCGGCAUAGGAAAUAUUACUACCUUCGUGCUCUGUUUCUAAGGGGAAAUACAUUCACUUCUCAAGGCCAAAGAAAUUGAUAUUGUUAUGGAUAGCAGAAGGAUUCAGAGAGAAAGUUAGAAACAAGAGCCUAAAGGAUGUGACUCUGUCAUUGGAUUAUCUAAUGGAUCUAAUAAAUAGUAACUCUAUUUAAGUUGCCAAAAGAAGAUCUGACGGUGGAGUCAAAACUUGUAAUAUUAAUUAUUUUAUUAUACGUGCUUAAAAAUAGUUAAAGAAAGAAAUUUGAAUAUAUGAGUGGAGUCAAAAGUUGUAUAAGAAUGAUAAUAUUGUAUCAAGAGUGUUUAAGAAUAGGCGAAGAUGGAAAUUCGAAUGUAUGAUGCAAAAGUUGUAUAAGAAUGAUAAUAUUGUAUAAAUGAUAUAUUGUAUGACGUGCUUAAAAAUAGUUGAAGAAGGAAGUCUAGUUUAUGUUAAUCUAGUAGUUAGUUUUUUCUUUUUAACUGUUGCUUCUUUUUCUUCCUCGUAUAUAUUUUAACCUACUGAUUAGUGUUGAUCA